AAAAACAUGUCUUUUUGUAAUUAAUUUAAAGUCUGACCUGCCCACUGAUAUAAAUUAAAUGGCCGCAGUAUUUUAACUGUGCAAAGGUAGCAUAAUCAUUAGUCUUUUAAUUGAAGGCUUGUAUGAAUGGUUGGACGAAAUAUAAUCUGUCUCAUAAAAAUUUAUAAUAGAAUUUUAUUUUUUAGUUAAAAAGCUAAAAUUAAAUUAAAAGACGAGAAGACCCUAUAGAUCUUUAUAUUUAAUAUAUUUAUUACUAUUUAGAUGUGUUAAGUAUUAAUUGUAUUAAUUAUUUUAUUGGGGUGAUACUAAAAUUUAAUAAACUUUUAUAAUAUAAAAUACAUUAAUUUAUGAAUAGUUGAUCCAUUAAUAGUGAUUAUAAGAUUAAGUUACCUUAGGGAUAACAGCGUAAUCUUCUUGGAGAGUUCAUAUUGAUAAGAAGGGUUGCGACCUCGAUGUUGGACUAAAAUAAAUUCUAGGUGUAGCAGUUUAGAAUAUUAAGUCUGUUCGACUUUUAAAUUUUUACAUGAU
Molecule: ribosomal RNA, 528 nt
Filed under: Brevitrichia arena
Lineage: Eukaryota; Metazoa; Arthropoda; Insecta; Diptera; Scenopinidae
Description: partial 16S ribosomal RNA
Rfam family: Bacterial large subunit ribosomal RNA
Source: RNAcentral